UACGUAGGGUGCGAGCGUUGUCCGGAAUUAUUGGGCGUAAAGAGCUUGUAGGCGGUCUGUCGCGUCUGCUGUGAAAAUCCGGGGCUCAACCCCGGACUUGCAGUGGGUACGGGCAGACUAGAGUGUGGUAGGGGAGACUGGAAUUCCUGGUGUAGCGGUGAAAUGCGCAGAUAUCAGGAGGAACACCGAUGGCGAAGGCGGGUCUCUGGGCCACUACUGACGCUGAGAAGCGAAAGCAUGGGGAGCGAACAGG
This 253-nucleotide ribosomal RNA is filed under the name uncultured bacterium. Its description in RNAcentral is "partial 16S ribosomal RNA". It matches the Rfam family "Bacterial small subunit ribosomal RNA", at positions 524 to 776 of the family's 1533-position model. The record is from RNAcentral.